Arachis ipaensis is the source of this 737-nucleotide non-coding RNA. NCBI's taxonomy places the organism in Eukaryota, Viridiplantae, Streptophyta, Magnoliopsida, Fabales, Fabaceae. The record is from RefSeq and is a predicted model, not a curated record.
UUAUUAAUACUUUUCUAAGAUUAGUUUUUUUUUCAAGUCCUUUUAUGUUGUAAAGCUUUGUAUUUUAAGUUCACUUAACAGACUAUAACUACAAUGUAGUUGAAGCAUAAGUUUUGGUUAGGUGGGUCAACUUUUAGCAUUUGUAUGUGGCACUAAUUUACAACAAAGCUAAACUAAGUAAAUUGAGACUGAAUUUGGAACUAACCAUGAUUUCUUCAAAUGACUAGUAUAUUAUUUGUUGCUUAUCUCAUUUUAGAUUGAAAUGCCUAGUAUAUUAUUUGUCUCUUUACAGGCUAUAGCAUUAACGGUGGUAUCUAUCGAUGUUGCUGUGGCUACGGUGACUGAUCUGCAAUUCCAUUUUUUUGGUGCAUGUGUGGCAUUGGCAUGGAUUGUACCAAGUGCUGUAAAUAAAAUCCUCUAGUCUCGACUGCAGCAGCAAGAGAACUAGACAGCUUUGUCGUGAUCUGAUGUGGAAAAAAACACCUAUUACGUUGAUUUUCCUGGCUGCUAUGAUGCCCUGCUUAGACCUUCCGGGUGUCCUCUCCUUUCAUUGGAACUUCAGAAACACACCCGUGAUUUUUGGCUCGGCAAUUCUUGGAUUCUUGCUUCAGCGGUCUGGUGCUUUAGCAUUAGGGUAAGUGAAUGUUCUAUUGAUUAGUGAUGAGCUCUUGCUGUGUUUCUGUUUUAAUUUGUAAACAAGAAAAUUGGAUGAUUAUUGAAUGUUUUCUGCUGUUUUA